Molecule: ribosomal RNA, 417 nt
Filed under: Theileria orientalis
Lineage: Eukaryota; Apicomplexa; Aconoidasida; Piroplasmida; Theileriidae
Description: SSU rRNA
Rfam family: Eukaryotic small subunit ribosomal RNA
Source: RNAcentral
GACAAGAAAUAACAAUACGGGGCUUAAAGUCUUGUAAUUGGAAUGAUGGGAAUUUAAACCUCUUCCAGAGUAUCAAUUGGAGGGCAAGUCUGGUGCCAGCAGCCGCGGUAAUUCCAGCUCCAAUAGCGUAUAUUAAAUUUGUUGCAGUUAAAAAGCUCGUAGUUGAAUUUCUGCUGCAUUACAUAUCUCUUGUUUGAGCUUGUUUUUGUGGCUUAUUUCGGUUUGAUUUUUUUAUCUUUCCGGAUGAUUACUUUGAGAAAAUUAGAGUGCUCAAAGCAGGCUUUUGCCUUGAAUAGUUUAGCAUGGAAUAAUAAAGUAGGACUUUGGUUCUAUUUUGUUGGUUUUAGGUACCAAAGUAAUGGUUAAUAGGAACAGUUGGGGGCAUUCGUAUUUAACUGUCAGAGGUGAAAUUCUUAG